Molecule: ribosomal RNA, 500 nt
Filed under: uncultured bacterium
Lineage: Bacteria
Description: bacterial SSU rRNA
Rfam family: Bacterial small subunit ribosomal RNA
Source: RNAcentral
AAAUGAAUUGACGGGGGCCCGCACAAGCGGUGGAGCAUGUGGUUUAAUUCGAGGCAACGCGAAGAACCUUACCAAGGCUUGACAUGGAGUUGACCGGCGCAGAGAUGCGCCUUCCCCCGAAAGGGGGCAGCUCACACAGGUGGUGCAUGGUUGUCGUCAGCUCGUGUCGUGAGAUGUUGGGUUAAGUCCCGCAACGAGCGCAACCCUUGUUUUCAGUUGCCAUCAGGUAAAGCUGGGCACUCUGGAGAUACUGCCGUGGUCAAAACACGGAGGAAGGUGGGGAUGAGGUCAAAUCAUCAUGCCCCUUACGUCUUGGGCUACACACGUGCUACAAUGGCUCCUACAAAGUGAAGCGAACCCGCGAGGGGGAGCGGACCACAAAAAGGGGCCCCAGUUCGGAUUGCAGGCUGCAACUCGCCUGCAUAAAGUCGGAAUCGCUAGUAAUCGCGAAUCAGCAUGUCGCGGUGAAUACGUUCCCGGGCCUUGUACACACCGCCCGU